AUGAGCGAGGAGGACACCGAAACGACCCGCCGCAGCGGCACCUCGCCGGCGGUGCCGGCCUCCCUACCGGAUGACGAGGAUCUUCUCCGGGAGUUCCUGCUCCGCCUCCUGCCAGAUCCCUCCUCGCUCCCGCGCGCCUCCGCCGUCUGCAGGAUCUGGCGAUCCGUCGCCACUGACCCCAAGUUCAUCCGCCGCUUCCGCGUCCAUCACCGGAGCAGCAAGCGGCCCCUCCUCGGCGUAUUCCAUCGCCACAACGACGAGAUCGCGUUCACCCCCGUCCUCGACCCUCCCGAUCGCGUGUCAGGUAUCAGUCACUGA
RNAcentral lists this ribosomal RNA (318 nucleotides) under Triticum aestivum (bread wheat). Its description in RNAcentral is "partial small subunit ribosomal RNA". Lineage: Eukaryota; Viridiplantae; Streptophyta; Magnoliopsida; Poales; Poaceae. The record is from RNAcentral.